AUUGAACGCUGGCGGCAUGCCUUACACAUGCAAGUCGAACGGCAGCACGGGGCAACCUGGUGGCGAGUGGCGAACGGGUGAGUAAUGCAUCGGAACGUGCCAUUGAGUGGGGGAUAACGUAGCGAAAGUUGCGCUAAUACCGCAUAUUCUGUGAGCAGGAAAGCAGGGGACCGCAAGGCCUUGCGCUCUUUGAGCGGCCGAUGUCAGAUUAGCUAGUUGGUGAGGUAACGGCUUACCAAGGCGACGAUCUGUAGCGGGUCUGAGAGGAUGAUCCGCCACACUGGAACUGAGACACGGUCCAGACUCCUACGGGAGGCAGCAGUGGGAAUUUUGGACAAUGGGCGCAAGCCUGAUCCAGCCAUGCCGCGUGAGUGAAGAAGGCCU
RNAcentral lists this ribosomal RNA (384 nucleotides) under uncultured bacterium. Its description in RNAcentral is "bacterial SSU rRNA". It matches the Rfam family "Bacterial small subunit ribosomal RNA", at positions 30 to 417 of the family's 1533-position model. The record is from RNAcentral.